Molecule: ribosomal RNA, 468 nt
Filed under: uncultured bacterium
Lineage: Bacteria
Description: partial 16S ribosomal RNA
Rfam family: Bacterial small subunit ribosomal RNA
Source: RNAcentral
GACGAACGCUGGCGGCAUGCUUAACACAUGCAAGUCGAACGGAAAGGCCGUGCUUUUGUGCGGUGCUGGGGUGGCGAACGGGGGAGGAACACGUGGGUAACCUGUCCUUCUCUUUGGGAUAGCGUAAGGAAACUGGGGCUAAUACCGGAUAGGAUCUCCUGCUGCAGGGUGGGGGUUGGAUGGUUUCGGCGGUUGGGGGUGGACUCGCGGCUUAUCGGCUUGUUGGUGGGGUAGUGGCUUACCAAGGCCUUGAACGGUAGGCCGCCUGGGAGGGGGACCGGCCCCAAUGGGACUGAGAUACGGCCCAGACUCCUACGGGAGGCAGCGGUGGGGAAUAUUGCACAAUGGGCGGAAGCCUGAUGCAGCAACGCCGCGUGCGGGAAGACGGCCUUCGGGUAGUGAACCGCUGUCGCCUGUGACGAAGCGUUAGUGACGGUACCGGGUGAAGAAGCACCGGCUAACUACGUG